This 284-nucleotide unclassified non-coding RNA is filed under the name plant metagenome. Its description in RNAcentral is "partial contains small subunit ribosomal RNA and internal transcribed spacer 1". The stretch from base 1 to 53 matches the Rfam family "Eukaryotic small subunit ribosomal RNA", at positions 1778 to 1831 of the family's 1831-position model. The record is from RNAcentral.
GGAAGUAAAAUCGUAACAAGGUUUCCGUAGGUGAACCUGCGGAAGGAUCAUUAUUGUAUAACCGAGGUGCGAGGGCUGUCGCUGACCCGAAAGGUCGUGCACGCCCGAGUGCCCUCACACACAUCCAUCUCACCCCUAUGUGCACCACCGCGUGGGUCCCCCUUUGGCUUGUUCGGAGGGGGGCUUACGUUUUCACACAAACUUUGUAUGCAGUGUAGAAUGUAUUUUUUGUUUUUGCGAUCACGCAAUCAAUACAGCUUUCAACAACGGAUCUCUUGGCUCUC